GAUGAACGCUGGCGGCGUGCCUAAUACAUGCAAGUCGAGCGAACGGACGAGAAGCUUGCUUCUCUGAUGUUAGCGGCGGACGGGUGAGUAACACGUGGAUAACCUACCUAUAAGACUGGGAUAACUUCGGGAACCGGAGCUAAUACCGGAUAAUAUUUUGAACCGCAUGGUUCAAAAGUGAAAGACGGUCUUGCUGUCACUUAUAGAUGGAUCCGCGCUGCAUUAGCUAGUUGGUAAGGUAACGGCUUACCAAGGCAACGAUGCAUAGCCGACCUGAGAGGGUGAUCGGCCACACUGGAACUGAGACACGGUCCAGACUCCUACGGGAGGCAGCAGUAGGGAAUCUUCCGCAAUGGGCGAAAGCCUGACGGAGCAACGCCGCGUGAGUGAUGAAGGUCCUCGGAUCGUAAAACUCUGUUAUUAGGGAAGAACAUAUGUGUAAGUAACUGUGCACAUCUUGACGGUACCUAAUCAGAAAGCCACGGCUAACUACGUG
RNAcentral lists this ribosomal RNA (496 nucleotides) under uncultured bacterium. RNAcentral's name for it is "partial 16S ribosomal RNA". It matches the Rfam family "Bacterial small subunit ribosomal RNA", at positions 28 to 507 of the family's 1533-position model. The record is from RNAcentral.